This 1596-nucleotide long non-coding RNA is filed under the name Malus domestica (apple). Its description in RNAcentral is "long non-coding RNA (MDOM_LNC004437)". The record is from RNAcentral. Lineage: Eukaryota; Viridiplantae; Streptophyta; Magnoliopsida; Rosales; Rosaceae.
AAAAUCUACAAGACUGAGGAAAUCAGCCAUCUCAGAUGAUUUUAUGUUGUAUUUGAGUGAAACAAAUAUCAACAUUGGUGAACCUGCAACAUAUAUGGAGGUUGUAAGUGGAUUGCAGCAAGAAGAGUGGGUGAAAGCCAUGGAGAAUGAACUUGAAUCCAUGAAAAAGAAUAAAGUGUGGGAACUUACAGUGUUACCAAAGGGAGCAAAGCCAAUCGGAUGUAAGUGGGUGUAUAAGACUAAGAAGGACUCCAAGGGAGAAAUUGAAAGAUUCAAGGCUAGACUUGUUGCUAAGGGAUACACUCAACAAGAGGGAAUUGAUUACACUGAGACAUUCUCACCAGUCUCAACAAAAGAUUCAUUCAGGUUUGUAAUGGCUUUGGUGGCUCACUAUAAUCUUCAUUUACAUCAAAUGGAUGUAAAAACUGCAUUCCUAAAUGGUACUUUGGAGGAAGAAAUUUAUAUGCAACAACCUGAGGGAUUCAUUGAUGGAGAUGGUAAGGAAUUAGUAUGCAAACUCAGGAAAUCGAUUUAUGGCCUCAAACAGGCUUCAAGACAAUGGUACUUGAGGUUUGAUGAAGUAAUGCAAUCACAUGGUUUCACUGAGAAUUCAGAAGAUGAAUGUAUAUAUUUUAAAUCAUGUGGGAGACACUUCACCAUAUUGGUGCUAUAUGUGGAUGAUAUCCUCAUAGCUAGCACUGAUUUGACCUUACUGCAUGAGACCAAAUUAAUACUCAGUGACAAUUUUGAGAUGAAGGAUAUGGGCGAAGCAACCUAUGUCUUGGGGAUAUAAAUAACUCGUGACAAAGAGAGAGGUUUGCUUGGAAUAUCACAGAAGGGAUAUAUUGACAAGAUACUCAAGAGGUUCAAUAUGUCAACUUGCAGUGGUUGUGAUGUGCCAGUGACUAAAAGAGAUAAACUGAGCAAGCUGCAGAGCCCUCAAACUGAAGCUGAAAAACUUGAGAUGAAUGACAAGUCGUAUGCUUCAGUUGUAUGGAGUUAAUGUAUGCACAAGUAUGCACAAGACCUGACAUUCCUUUUGCAUUAAGCUUGUUGGGGAGAUAUCAAUCGAACCCUGGACAUGCCUAUUGGAUUGUAGCAAAGAAGGUGCUCAGGUAUUUGCAGAAAACCAAAGACUAUAAACUGGUAUACAGGAGAAGUGAUAAGCUCGAGUUGCUUGGCUACUAUGAUUCAGAUUUUGCGGGAUGUCAAGACUCACUGAAAUCUACCUCUAGCUACAUUUUUAUGAUGGCAGGAGGAGCAAUCUCGUGGAAAAGUAUGAAACAUAAAAAUGUAGCUACCUCUACUAUGAUGGCUGAAUAUAUGGCUUGUUACGAAGCAACUUCUCAAGCGGUUUGGAUUGGAAAGUUUAUAGAGGGUAUGAGGGUCCUCCAUAUUGUCACAAAUCCGUUGAAGAUAUUUUGUGACAGUACUGCUGCAAUUUUCUACUCCAAGAACAACAAGAGAUCUUCUGGGACUAAGCACAUGCAUAUCAAGUAUAAGUUGGUUAGGGAAAAGAUUAAGCAAGGGUUCAUAAAGAUUAGCUAUAUACAUACUGAAUCAAUGCUUGCGGAUCCCUUGAACAAGCCACUUCCA